Molecule: long non-coding RNA, 1659 nt
Organism: Glycine soja
Lineage: Eukaryota; Viridiplantae; Streptophyta; Magnoliopsida; Fabales; Fabaceae
Exons: 5
Source: RefSeq, a predicted model, not a curated record
UCUCUCCUCUGACUCCCACCGCUUCAUCUCCCACGAUAGCGUCUCCUCCAUCUAAAGAUGCCGCUCUAGCUUCGAUGGCUACACCUCCCGCAGCCACUCCUCCUGCGGCCACACCAUCGAAAGGUCAUGGAGUUCCUCCUCCGUAGUUUCGUCCUUGAUUCCGUCAUCAAGAAAACCCUAACCGCCCUCCCUCUCUCCCCCGCCUCAAGAAAACUCUCCUCCUCCGCACCCUCCAAACCCUCUUCCGUACAACCACAGUUUAGACAAGAAGCGUGGGAUCUCUGGUUUCUAAAAUUCCUAUGGUGUGGAGCGUUUGAGAGAUUCUUUUUUUGUCUCUUUCUCUUUGUUCUGGAUGAGGAGCAUGCUGAAUUUUGUGGAGGAGAAGUUUUUGUGCUAGCGAGGGUGUGUUGAAAUUCAGAAGUCCUUUCCCUUGUCGAGCGAAUGACCUUGAAUUUCCCGUAGAUGUCACGGGAUAGAGCCUGACGAAAACUAGCAAGGAGGGAGGUUUUUGGUAUUUUCUGGACAAGCUGCAGGAUGCCUUCUGAAAUCAUGAAGAAGAGGGGUGCUUCUGCCUCAUCUCGCGUGUAUCCAUAUUUAUGUUUUUGGGAGCUAGAUUGGCACCAAUGUUGCCUCACGUGACUGCUUUAUUAUUACCGCCAUAUGUUUUGCUUGUUUAAUUGCUUGCAUGCCUGUUUUUAUGCUUUGCUUAUAGAUCUAUUGGGUGUGUAGACAAAAGGAUCUAUUGCAAUUUUUAGAAAGCUUAAGGGCCUCACCUGGAUCUAAAUUUUAAGGUGACUUCUUCAAUAGGAGCCAAAAUUUCUUGAUCUAGCUUUAAGUGUAGCUUUGGCAACUUUCCUGACGUUAGAAAUUAUUCGAGUGCAAUUUUGCGUGAUGAAAGAGAAAUACUUCAUCAGGAUUCCAAUGUUUUGAAGUAUAUGCGAUGACAUGUUCUUGACCGUGAAUUUGCUGUUUGAGGAUACCACCGUAACCGAUGUCUGAUGCAUCAGUUUCGACAACUUUGAAUGCUUGUGGAAUGGGAAGAUACAGACAUUUUAUGGAUUGGACUUUGACUUUGAUUUCUUUAACUGUUUGGGUAUGGAGGUCAGACCAAGGAGGCGGAUUUUUCUUUAGCCUAUUAUGCAAUGGUUUGACAAUAUUAUUUAAGUAGGGGACAAAUUCUCCUACGUAAUUUAGACAACCUAGAAAUCUUUGUAACUGGGUUUUGUCUAAGAUUUGGUUGGGAAAUUUGCUAGCAAACUCUAUUGACCUUUCGAUUGGAAUGAUUGUACCUUGAUAAAUAUUGUGACCAAGGAAUCGAAUUCGAGUUUGGAAAAGAUUGAUUUUUGAUUUGGAGACUGCCAAACCAUUUUGUUUAAUGAUAUGGAUGAAGGUUUGGAGAUGUUUGAAAUGUUGGUCAAUGUUUUGGGAAAAGAUUAAAACAUCAUCUAUGUAGACAAUGACAAAUUUUGAAUAGGGAUUAAAAAUAUCAUUCAUAAUUUUUUGAAAUUCUGAAGGGGCAUUCUUUAGUCCGAAUGGCAUCACAUUCCAUUCAUAUUGCCCGAAAGGUACAGUAAACGCUGUUUUGUACCUAUCUGAUUCUUGGAUUUGGAUUUGCCAAAAUCCAGAUUUCAUAUCAAAUUUUGAAAAUAUCUUUGCAGA